GGGGAUGUAGCUCAGAUGGUAGAGCGCUCGCUUAGGCUCGCUUAGCAUGCGAGAAGUACGGGGAUCGAUACCCUGCAUCUCCA
RNAcentral lists this transfer RNA (83 nucleotides) under Daphnia pulex (common water flea). It matches the Rfam family "tRNA". From Rfam's summary of the family: Transfer RNA (tRNA) molecules are approximately 80 nucleotides in length. Their secondary structure includes four short double-helical elements and three loops (D, anti-codon, and T loops). The record is from Rfam by way of RNAcentral. Lineage: Eukaryota; Metazoa; Arthropoda; Branchiopoda; Diplostraca; Daphniidae.